Molecule: ribosomal RNA, 793 nt
Filed under: uncultured organism
Description: bacterial SSU rRNA
Rfam family: Bacterial small subunit ribosomal RNA
Source: RNAcentral
AGCUACAGGCUUAACACAUGCAAGUCGAGGGGAAACGACAUCGAAAGCUUGCUUUUGAUGGGCGUCGACCGGCGCACGGGUGAGUAACGCGUAUCCAACCUGCCCACCACUUGGGGAUAACCUUGCGAAAGUAAGACUAAUACCCAAUGACGUCUCUAGAAGACAUCUGAAGGAGAUUAAAGAUUUAUCGGUGAUGGAUGGGGAUGCGUCUGAUUAGCUUGUUGGCGGGGUAACGGCCCACCAAGGCGACGAUCAGUAGGGGUUCUGAGAGGAAGGUCCCCCACAUUGGAACUGAGACACGGUCCAAACUCCUACGGGAGGCAGCAGUGAGGAAUAUUGGUCAAUGGACGAGAGUCUGAACCAGCCAAGUAGCGUGCAGGAUGACGGCCCUAUGGGUUGUAAACUGCUUUUAUAAGGGAAUAAAGUGAGUCUCGUGAGACUUUUUGCAUGUACCUUAUGAAUAAGGACCGGCUAAUUCCGUGCCAGCAGCCGCGGUAAUACGGAAGGUCCGGGCGUUAUCCGGAUUUAUUGGGUUUAAAGGGAGCGUAGGCCGGAGAUUAAGCGUGUUGUGAAAUGUAGAUGCUCAACAUCUGCACUGCAGCGCGAACUGGUUUCCUUGAGUACGCACAAAGUGGGCGGAAUUCGUGGUGUAGCGGUGAAAUGCUUAGAUAUCACGAAGAACUCCGAUUGCGAAGGCAGCUCACUGGAGCGCAACUGACGCUGAAGCUCGAAAGUGCGGGUAUCGAACAGGAUUAGAUACCCUGGUAGUCCUCACGGUUAACGAUGGAUGCCC